UUUGCUCUUCAUUUCAACAUGUCUUUUCCUCUUACUCUUUGUGAUUUUCACUUGAUCCUUUUGAGUUUUGAUUCCAAAGUUCUUAAGAGACAGAGAUCCUAUUGGCUGGUGCAAGACCAUAGCAGUUGUGUGUGUGUGUGUGUGUGAGAGAGAGAGAGAGAGAGAGAGAGAGAGAGAGAGAGAGAGAGAGAGGGAGAGGGAGAGGGAGAGGGAGAGCGCUGAGUCACUGUCUCCCAUUUCUGGCUUUGCUUCUCACAUCCACAACCCAUGUGCUCUACUUCCAUUUUUUCCUCUCAUUCCUGUUCCAAGCACAUCUGAAGAUUUUAUUUUCUCUAGCUUGGCUUUUCCCUUUGGGGAUGGCUCACAAAGCCUCAGAGCUUCUGAACGCACUCUGACGUGA
RNAcentral lists this long non-coding RNA (400 nucleotides) under Sus scrofa (pig). RNAcentral's name for it is "lncRNA (ENSSSCG00030043060.1)". The record is from RNAcentral. Lineage: Eukaryota; Metazoa; Chordata; Mammalia; Artiodactyla; Suidae.